RNAcentral lists this ribosomal RNA (382 nucleotides) under uncultured eukaryote. RNAcentral's name for it is "partial 18S ribosomal RNA". It matches the Rfam family "Eukaryotic small subunit ribosomal RNA", at positions 592 to 976 of the family's 1831-position model. The record is from RNAcentral.
UGUCAGCGUAUACCAAAGUUGUUGCAGUUAAAACGCUCGUAGUCGGAAUUUGGCAGUUCCGGAUGUGUGCACGUCGUGUGCGCACUUCGCGGGGAUUGCUUUUGUGGUCUUGCGUAGGAUGAGGCACUUUUAUUAGUGAACGUCCUCACGCAACCACUUUUUACUGUGAGAAAAUCAGAGUGCUCAAAGCAGGCAUUUGCCGUGAAUGUAUUAGCAUGGAAUAAUAGAAUAGGACUUGGUUCUAUUUUGUUGGUUUGUUGGGACUGAGUAAUGAUUAAGAGGGACAGUUGGGGGAAUUUGUAUUUCGGUGCUAGAGGUGAAAUUCUUAGAUUACCGAAAGACAAACUGCUGCGAAAGCGUCUGCCAAGGAUGUUUUCAUUGA